Molecule: ribosomal RNA, 270 nt
Filed under: uncultured archaeon
Lineage: Archaea
Description: partial 16S ribosomal RNA
Rfam family: Archaeal small subunit ribosomal RNA
Source: RNAcentral
CAGCACCUCAAGUGGUCAGGAUGAUUAUUGGGCCUAAAGCAUCCGUAGCCGGCGCUGUAAGUUUUCGGUUAAAUCUGUACGCUCAACGUACAGGCUGCCGGGAAUACUGCAGCGCUAGGGAGUGGGAGAGGUAGACGGUACUCGGUAGGAAGGGGUAAAAUCCUUUGAUCUAUUGAUGACCACCUAUGGCGAAGGCGGUCUACCAGAACACGUCCGACGGUGAGGGAUGAAAGCUGGGGGAGCAAACCGGAUUAGAUACCCGUGUAGUCC